Molecule: ribosomal RNA, 496 nt
Filed under: uncultured bacterium
Lineage: Bacteria
Description: partial 16S ribosomal RNA
Rfam family: Bacterial small subunit ribosomal RNA
Source: RNAcentral
AUGAACGCUGGCGGCGUGCCUAAUACAUGCAAGUCGAGCGAACAGACGAGGAGCUUGCUCCUCUGACGUUAGCGGCGGACGGGUGAGUAACACGUGGAUAACCUACCUAUAAGACUGGGAUAACUUCGGGAAACCGGAGCUAAUACCGGAUAAUAUAUUGAACCGCAUGGUUCAAUAGUGAAAGACGGUUUUGCUGUCACUUAUAGAUGGAUCCGCGCCGCAUUAGCUAGUUGGUAAGGUAACGGCUUACCAAGGCGACGAUGCGUAGCCGACCUGAGAGGGUGAUCGGCCACACUGGAGCUGAGACACGGUCCAGACUCCUACGGGAGGCAGCAGUAGGGAAUCUUCCGCAAUGGGCGAAAGCCUGACGGAGCAACGCCGCGUGAGUGAUGAAGGUCUUCGGAUCGUAAAACUCUGUUAUUAGGGAAGAACAAAUGUGUAAGUAACUAUGCACGUCUUGACGGUACCUAAUCAGAAAGCCACGGCUAACUACGUG